UUUAUAGCUUCUUUCUUUAUUUCAUGAAAAUUUAUUUAUAAUCUUACACAUCCUUUAAGUAGAUAAGCUCACAAAGUGCACAUACAUGCACCUUUUCAAUUUAUUUUCUAUAUUUAGUGCAUGCAUAUAUAUAUAUAUAUAUAUAUAUAUAUACACACAGGUAAGACAUCGACCCCAAGGCUGCAUGCAGUUCAUGGGCAAAAGACAACCUUGUAAUUGGUUCCACCUUUGCAAGAGAAUGUACUUGUCGCAUCAUCCUUUGGGUAACUAUAAGCAUCUGGGCACUUAUUCUUGAAAUAUUGAGAAUAAUU
Molecule: long non-coding RNA, 311 nt
Filed under: Medicago truncatula (barrel medic)
Lineage: Eukaryota; Viridiplantae; Streptophyta; Magnoliopsida; Fabales; Fabaceae
Description: long non-coding RNA (MTRU_LNC006651)
Source: RNAcentral